GUAGGUGAACCUGCGGAAGGAUCAUUACAUAUUGAGCGCGGCUGGGAUCUCCAGGAGCCAUCGUCUUGCCUUUGGCAGGCGUAACUCUUGCCCAGUUUUGCGUGAAUAUUCACCCAUGUCUUUUGCGUACUUCUUGUUUCCUUGGUAGGCUCGCCUGCCAUUAGGACAACCAUUAAACCUUUUUGUAAUUGCAGUCAGCGUCAGUAAAAUUUAAUCGUUACAACUUUCAACAACGGAUCUCUUGGUUCUG
RNAcentral lists this unclassified non-coding RNA (250 nucleotides) under rhizosphere metagenome. Its description in RNAcentral is "partial ribosomal RNA internal transcribed spacer region". The record is from RNAcentral.